RNAcentral lists this ribosomal RNA (1334 nucleotides) under uncultured bacterium. RNAcentral describes it as "bacterial SSU rRNA". It matches the Rfam family "Bacterial small subunit ribosomal RNA", at positions 28 to 1381 of the family's 1533-position model. The record is from RNAcentral.
GACGAACGCUGGCGGCGUGCUUAACACAUGCAAGUCGAACGGAAAGGCCUUUUCGGAGGUACUCGAGUGGCGAACGGGUGAGUAACACGUGGGCGAUCUGCCCUGCACUCUGGGAUAAGCCUGGGAAACUGGGUCUAAUACCGGAUAGGACUGCACUUUAGUGUGUGUGGUGGAAAGUUUUUUCGGUGUAGGAUGAGCCCGCGGCCUAUCAGCUUGUUGGUGGGGUAAUGGCCUACCAAGGCGGCGACGGGUAGCCGGACUGAGAGGUUGGUCGGCCACAUUGGGACUGAGAUACGGCCCAGACUCCUACGGGAGGCAGCAGUGGGGAAUAUUGCACAAUGGGCGCAAGCCUGAUGCAGCGACGCCGCGUGGGGGAUGACGGCCUUCGGGUUGUAAACUCCUUUCGCCAGGGACGAAGCGUUUUGUGACGGUACCUGGAGAAGAAGCACCGGCUAACUACGUGCCAGCAGCCGCGGUAAUACGUAGGGUGCAAGCGUUGUCCGGAAUUACUGGGCGUAAAGAGCUCGUAGGUGGUUUGUCACGUCGUCUGUGAAAUUCCACAGCUUAACUGUGGGCGUGCAGGCGAUACGGGCUGACUUGAGUACUGUAGGGGUAACUGGAAUUCCUGGUGUAGCGGUGAAAUGCGCAGAUAUCAGGAGGAGCACCGAUGGCGAAGGCAGGUUACUGGGCAGUUACUGACGCUGAGGAGCGAAAGCAUGGGUAGCAAACAGGAUUAGAUACCCUGGUAGUCCAUGCCGUAAACGGUGGGCGCUAGGUGUAGGGGCCUUUUGGGGUUUCUGUGCCGUAGCUAACGCAUUAAGCGCCCCGCCUGGGGAGUACGGCCGCAAGGCUAAAACUCAAAGGAAUUGACGGGGGCCCGCACAAGCGGCGGAGCAUGUGGAUUAAUUCGAUGCAACGCGAAGAACCUUACCUGGGCUUGACAUACACCAGAUCGCUGCAGAGAUGUAGUUUCCCUUGUGGCUGGUGUACAGGUGGUGCAUGGUUGUCGUCAGCUCGUGUCGUGAGAUGUUGGGUUAAGUCCCGUAACGAGCGCAACCCUUGUUGUUAGUUGCCAGCAUUAAGUUGGGCACUUUAACGAGACUGCCGGUGAUAAACCGGAGGAAGGCGGGGAUGACGUCAAAUCAUCAUGCCCCUUAUGAGCUGGGCUACACACGUGCUACAAUGGAUGGUACAACGAGCAGCGAUCCCGCAAGGGCUAGCUAAUCUUUCAAAGCCAUUCUCAGUUCGGAUUGCACUCUGCAACUCGAGUGCAUGAAGUCGGAAUCGCUAGUAAUCGCGAAUCAGAAUGUCGCGGUGAAUCCGUUCCCGGGUCU